Osmerus eperlanus (European smelt) is the source of this 215-nucleotide small nucleolar RNA. RefSeq annotates it as small nucleolar RNA U3. The transcript has a single exon. The record is from RefSeq and is a predicted model, not a curated record. NCBI's taxonomy places the organism in Eukaryota, Metazoa, Chordata, Actinopteri, Osmeriformes, Osmeridae.
AAGACUAUACUUUCAGGGAUCAUUUCUAUAGUUUUUUACUUGCGAAAUGUGUUUCUAAAAAGUUUGGUCUCGCUAACCACGAUGAUGAGUAGCGGUACAUCUUCCUGAGCGCGAAGCUGGUAGAGUAGAUUGAGUUUACUCAGUCUCUCUGCUCUUGAUGACCGUUCUUGAUUUCCAUUUGGGAAUCUGGAGGGAAGUUGUGCGAUCAGAGUGGU